CCUACGGGUGGCAGCAGUGAGGAAUAUUGGUCAAUGGACGAGAGUCUGAACCAGCCAAGUAGCGUGAAGGAUGACUGCCCUAUGGGUUGUAAACUUCUUUUAUAUGGGAAUAAAAUGUUCCACGUGUGGGAUUUUGUAUGUACCAUCUGAAUAAGGAUCGGCUAACUCCGUGCCAGCAGCCGCGGUAAUACGGAGGAUCCGAGCGUUAUCCGGAUUUAUUGGGUUUAAAGGGAGCAUAGGUGGAUUGUUAAGUCAGUUGUGAAAGUUUGCGGCUCAACCGUAAAAUUGCAGUUGAAACUGGCAGUCUUGAGUACAGUAGAGGUGGGCGGAAUUCGUGGUGUAGCGGUGAAAUGCUUAGAUAUCACGAAGAACUCCGAUUGCGAAGGCAGCUCACUGGACUGCAACUGACACUGAGGUUCGAAAGCGUGGGUAGCAAACAGGAUUAGAUACCCGGGUAGUC
RNAcentral lists this ribosomal RNA (460 nucleotides) under uncultured bacterium. RNAcentral describes it as "partial 16S ribosomal RNA". It matches the Rfam family "Bacterial small subunit ribosomal RNA", at positions 338 to 795 of the family's 1533-position model. The record is from RNAcentral.